This 68-nucleotide transfer RNA is filed under the name Angiostrongylus costaricensis. It matches the Rfam family "tRNA". From Rfam's summary of the family: Transfer RNA (tRNA) molecules are approximately 80 nucleotides in length. Their secondary structure includes four short double-helical elements and three loops (D, anti-codon, and T loops). Further hydrogen bonds mediate the characteristic L-shaped molecular structure. tRNAs have two regions of fundamental functional importance: the anti-codon, which is responsible for specific mRNA codon recognition, and the 3' end, to which the tRNAs corresponding amino acid is attached (by aminoacyl-tRNA synthetases). tRNAs cope with the degeneracy of the genetic code in two manners: having more than one tRNA (with a specific anti-codon) for a particular amino acid; and 'wobble' base-pairing, i.e. permitting non-standard base-pairing at the 3rd anti-codon position. Lineage: Eukaryota; Metazoa; Nematoda; Chromadorea; Rhabditida; Metastrongylidae. The record is from Rfam by way of RNAcentral.
AUGUGGUCUAAUGGUGAGGAUUCGUGGUUUUCACCCACGCGCCCCGGGUUCGAUUCCCAUUAUCGGAA